UACCGAGUUUACAACUCCCAAACCCCUGUGAACAUACCUUAUGUUGCCUCGGCGGAUCAGCCCGCGCCCGGUAAAACGGGACGGCCCGCCAGAGGACCCUAAACUCUGAUUUUAGUGUAACUUCUGAGUAAAACCAUAAAUAAAUCAAAACUUUCAACAACGGAUCUCUUGGUUCUGGCAUCGAUGAAGAACGCAGCAAAAUGCGAUAAGUAAUGUGAAUUGCAGAAUUCAGUGAAUCAUCGAAUCUUUGAACGCACAUUGCGCCCGCCAGUAUUCUGGCGGGCAUGCCUGUUCGAGCGUCAUUUCAACCCUCAAGCUCAGCUUGGUGUUGGAGAUCGGAUCGCAAGAUCCGCCUCCCAAAUCUAUUGGCGGUCACGCUGUAGCUUCCAUUGCGUAGUAACAUACCUCGUCUUGGAGAGCAGCGCGGCCACGCCGUUAAACCCCAACUUCUGAAUGUUGACCUCGGAUCAGGUAGGAAUACCCGCUGAACUUAAGCAUAUCAAUAAGCGGAGGAAAAGAAACCAACAGGGAUUGCCCUAGUAACGGCGAGUGAAGCGGCAACAGCUCAAAUUUGAAAUCUGGCUCUCGGGCCCGAGUUGUAAUUUGUAGAGGAUGUUUUUGAUGCGGUGCCUUCCGAGUUCCCUGGAACGGGACGCCAUAGAGGGUGAGAGCCCCGUCUGGUUGGAUGCCAAAUCUCUGUAAAACUCCUUCAACGAGUCGAGUAGUUUGGGAAUGCUGCUCUAAAUGGGAGGUAUAUGUCUUCUAAAGCUAAAUACCGG
This 779-nucleotide ribosomal RNA is filed under the name fungal endophyte. RNAcentral's name for it is "eukaryotic LSU rRNA". The stretch from base 458 to 779 matches the Rfam family "Eukaryotic large subunit ribosomal RNA", at positions 1 to 326 of the family's 3401-position model. The record is from RNAcentral. Lineage: Eukaryota; Fungi.